UACGGAGGAUGCGAGCGUUAUCCGGAUUUAUUGGGUUUAAAGGGUGCGUAGGCGGACUGUCAAGUCAGCGGUAGAAUUGAGAGGCUCAACCUCUUCCCGCCGUUGAAACUGGUGGUCUUGAGUGGAUGAGAAGUACGCGGAAUGCGUGGUGUAGCGGUGAAAUGCAUAGAUAUCACGCAGAACUCCGAUUGCGAAGGCAGCGUACCGGCAUCCAACUGACGCUGAGGCACGAAAGCGUGGGGAGCAAACAGG
RNAcentral lists this ribosomal RNA (252 nucleotides) under uncultured bacterium. RNAcentral's name for it is "partial 16S ribosomal RNA". It matches the Rfam family "Bacterial small subunit ribosomal RNA", at positions 524 to 776 of the family's 1533-position model. The record is from RNAcentral.